AGUGAACGCUGGCGGUAGGCCUAACACAUGCAAGUCGAACGGCAGCACAGUAAGAGCUUGCUCUUACGGGUGGCGAGUGGCGGACGGGUGAGGAAUACAUCGGAAUCUACUUUUUCGUGGGGGAUAACGUAGGGAAACUUACGCUAAUACCGCAUACGACCUACGGGUGAAAGCAGGGGAUCUUCGGACCUUGCGCGAUUGAAUGAGCCGAUGUCGGAUUAGCUAGUUGGCGGGGUAAAGGCCCACCAAGGCGACGAUCCGUUGCUGGGCUGAGAGGAUGAUCAGCCACACUGGAACUGAGACACGGUCCAGACUCCUACGGGAGGCAGCAGUGGGGAAUAUUGGACAAUGGGCGCAAGCCUGAUCCAGCCAUACCGCGUGGGUGAAGAAGGCCUUCGGGUUGUAAAGCCCUUUUGUUGGGAAAGAAAAGCAGCAGGUUAAUACCCCGCUGUUCUGACGGUACCCAAAGAAUAAGCACCGGCUAACUUCGUG
Molecule: ribosomal RNA, 492 nt
Filed under: uncultured bacterium
Lineage: Bacteria
Description: partial 16S ribosomal RNA
Rfam family: Bacterial small subunit ribosomal RNA
Source: RNAcentral